RNAcentral lists this ribosomal RNA (463 nucleotides) under Clavibacter michiganensis. Its description in RNAcentral is "bacterial SSU rRNA". It matches the Rfam family "Bacterial small subunit ribosomal RNA", at positions 8 to 482 of the family's 1533-position model. The record is from RNAcentral. Lineage: Bacteria; Bacillati; Actinomycetota; Actinomycetes; Micrococcales; Microbacteriaceae.
AGAGUUUGAUCCUGGCUCAGGACGAACGCUGGCGGCGUGCUUAACACAUGCAAGUCGAACGGUGAUGUCAGAGCUUGCUCUGGCGGAUCAGUGGCGAACGGGUGAGUAACACGUGAGUAACCUGCCCCCGACUCUGGGAUAACUGCUAGAAAUGGUAGCUAAUACCGGAUAUGACGACUGGCCGCAUGGUCUGGUCGUGGAAAGAAUUUCGGUUGGGGAUGGACUCGCGGCCUAUCAGGUUGUUGGUGAGGUAAUGGCUCACCAAGCCUACGACGGGUAGCCGGCCUGAGAGGGUGACCGGCCACACUGGGACUGAGACACGGCCCAGACUCCUACGGGAGGCAGCAGUGGGGAAUAUUGCACAAUGGGCGAAAGCCUGAUGCAGCAACGCCGCGUGAGGGAUGACGGCCUUCGGGUUGUAAACCUCUUUUAGUAGGGAAGAAGCGAAAGUGACGGUACCUGC